GUGGGAACCGCAGGAAGGUAACGCCGUUGAGGAGAAGUGGGAACGGAGGGAAGGUAACGCCAGUGAGGAGUGGGAACGGUGGGAAGGUGACACCGGUGAGAAGUGGGAACCGCAGGAAUGUAACGCCGUUGAGGAGAAGUGGGAACGGAGGGAAGGUAACGCCAGUGAGGAGUGGGAACGGUGGGAAGGUAACGCCAGUGAGGAGUGGGAACGGUGGGAAGGUGACACCGGUGAGAAGUGGGAACCGCAGGAAUGUAACGCCGUUGAGGAGAAGUGGGAACGGAGGGAAGGUAACGCCAGUGAGGAGUGGGAACGGUGGGAAGGUGACACCGGUGAGAAGUGGGAACAGUUGGUGAAUUCGCCUAAGGCUCUAAUGGCAGUUCCUUGUCGUAUUCUUGUGACUUUUACAUAUGUUUGACGUUGUAUCAAAAUGGGCAUGUGCACACCACCCUCGGCCGUCAUCCUGGAGACGCGGGAGCUCGGCUGCCAGGUUGCUGAUACGCUCCAUGUUCAGGAGCUGUCCCACCGGGAAAGGUGUCCGUGGGGGUGAGGAGCCCUCUUCUGAUCCUCCUGCUUUCCUGGGGGGUGAAGCUGCUUUCCCAGAAAACACCAGGCCCCCCUCCCAGCUGCCGGACCCCACAGUGUGGUCUUUGUCCCCAGGGGCAGUGCUUUCUGCCCCUUUUGUUCUCUGCUGAUCCCCAGAGCCUGGCCCUGCACAGGUCGUCGGUGAUGUCUGUGGAUUAGAGACCUGCUCCCCUGUGCCUCCACAGGGGAGGGCCACACAUGCAUACACAUGCACACUCAGACACAUGGUCACACACAUGAUCAUGCUUACAUGUCACACACUAUACACACGCACUCUUGUGUACACAUGGCACACACUUACCCUAACGCAGCCACACAGUUCACACACACCCACCCCCUCCUGCUGACACUCUCACAGUCACACACAUGCACUCACCACACCCUCCCCUAGUGGGCUCUGGGGUUCCACCAACCGUAGCUGGGUGGCCACCCCAUGGUCUUCACCACUGCGUGGCCCAACACACAAAGGUGGCCUGGGGUCUCUCCCGACUCUAGGUCAGUUCUUCCUGGUUCCCUGGGCCAACAUUCUCCUGCGGGCCCAGUCUCAGUCAGCCCUCACACGUGGGGAUUCCAGCCCAGCCCCCUUUCCCAGACUCCACACUUGGAUUCUCAAGCCAUAGGUAAAGUAGCCGUGCCGGCACCGACUGGCCCCAAAGUGGAGCCGAUGCCACAAAGCACUGCCGGGCCAGACACCAGCCAGGCAGAGUGAGGAGAGCACAGGCCCCUGGGACAGCGGUGCAGGUCGGCUUCCAGCCAACUUUGGGGUCCCCAGGACCCCGCCUUUCUGGAGGGGUCACCAAGCCAGAGCUGGGCUCCACCUGGCCAUUUGUGAGAUGUGCAGCUUUGUGAGCUGGUGCUGCCCCUGGGGCAGUUUAAACAGCGGUGGUGGGAGGAUGUGCAAAUGCUUCCAACCAGGGGCUUCAUUUUCGCUUUUCCCUGGAGAGCCUGCUUGCCAGCACCCCGCUACCAGGGACCCUCCGUGCCUCCCCAACUCCACCUAACCCCUUCUCCAGCUCCCCUAGUGGGGGGCGGCACCUUGCUCUUCUGAGCGGAGCCGGGGAGAGCGAGGACCCCGCACAUCACCACGUCCCUCCUGCCCCCGGCUUCUGCUUGCCUGUCCCCAGGAGCUGGGAUGCCAGGUCGAUUUCAACUAAGUUCUCUUUUACGGACAUACACACCAGUGGGAUUUGAUUACUGGCCUCACCUGCGCUGGAAGAAGCUCUAUCUUUAACUUCUGUUCUGCUCAUUCUGCUCAUGUAUAUAUUCUGAGAUGUUUUAAACAACAAUUCACCCAUCUUCCUGGCUUUCACCUGAUGAAAUUACAAAUGUUCAGAAUUCUCACCACCUUCUGGUUAAGCAAGUGUCAUGGAUUGAACUGUGUCCCCCUGAAACUCUUAUGCUGGAGUCCUAGUCCCACGGCCUCAGAAUGUGGCCUUAUUUGGAGACAGGGUCUUCACAGAGGUGAUCUAUUUAACAGGAGGUCCCAGGGUGGGCCCUAAACCCCAUGGCUGGUGUCCAUAUAAGAUGGGCACAUUUGGACACCGAGACACAGACAAGAAGACGACCACAUACGGCCACGCGGGGUGCCCUCCAAGGAACCAACUCCGGCCGCACCUUGUUCUCGGCCUUCCCGCCUCCUUUCCCGCUGUUUAAGCCGCCCAUGAGAGUGCCCCGUGAUGGCAACGCCAGCGGGCGCAUAUACAGCAGGCCUCUGGGGUCCAGCCUGGGAGCCCAGACACAGACACCGUCUCUACCUGGCAAGAUGGGGUGAUGAAAUGAGAAAUGAAUAGAUCUGGUCUCUGCUCCCGAGACCCCGCACAGGGCUCCAAAAGCCCUCGAAUUUCCUGGGUGAUGGCAGCAGAUUCUUCCAUUCAAAUGAGGGAUCAUCCACCAUCAUCCUUCAUGUCUGCGAUGGAGCCUCCAUAAGAAUGCCUGGACUAUGGGUCCCGAGCAGUUCCAGGUUGCUGAACACAUCCACGGGCCAGGAGGGUGGUGCCCCCCACUCCACGGACACAGAAGCUCCUGGGCUGGGGACCCUUUCCGACCCUGCCCUGUGCCCCGGCCCACCUGGCUGCCCAUCUGCGGCCUUUCUCAUCUCCUUUUCCUGCGUUCUGUGAUAAUUUUGUGUUGCACUCUUGAUAUUUAAGGCUAAUGUGUAACUAGAAAACUGAGUUUUAAUAUUUAAUGCCCUUGGAUUUGGGAAAUCUCUUACUACAUUAUGUUUGGAUAUACUUUCUCUGAGGGGAUAAAUAUUUUAUCGAGGCUGUACCCAUGUGUGGAGUGUCUUUACCAACAAAGGCC
This 2886-nucleotide long non-coding RNA is filed under the name Homo sapiens (human). Its description in RNAcentral is "HSALNT0170514". Lineage: Eukaryota; Metazoa; Chordata; Mammalia; Primates; Hominidae. The record is from RNAcentral.